This 253-nucleotide ribosomal RNA is filed under the name uncultured bacterium. RNAcentral describes it as "partial 16S ribosomal RNA". It matches the Rfam family "Bacterial small subunit ribosomal RNA", at positions 524 to 776 of the family's 1533-position model. The record is from RNAcentral.
UACGUAGGGGGCUAGCGUUGUCCGGAAUCAUUGGGCGUAAAGAGCGUGUAGGCGGCCCUGUAAGUCCGCUGUGAAAGUCAAGGGCUCAACCCUUGAAUGCCGGUGGAUACUGCAGGGCUAGAGUCCGGAAGAGGAGUGUGGAAUUCCUGGUGUAGCGGUGAAAUGCGCAGAUAUCAGGAAGAACACCUAUGGCGAAGGCAGCACUCUGGGACGGUACUGACGCUGAGACGCGAAAGCGUGGGGAGCGAACAGG